GUUUGGAUAGCUUUUUGUUUGGAUUCUGGCUCUGGGCACAGGGAAUAACACUACUUUCUGAGGACAGUAUCAGGAUUGUCUGUAGUUCCUGUGAGCCUGAGGUGCUGCGUGUGCCCACCCCCGUGUACAGGCCCUGCCCCAGCCACAGCCCACUCACCUUUUGACCCUCCUGCUCUGCCUAUACAGUUUGAAUACCAGCAGGCUCAGCUGGAGGCUGAGAUCGAAAACCUCUCAUGGAAAGUGGAGCGUGCAGACAGCUAUGACAGAGGGGACUUGGAGAACCAGAUGCAUAUAGCGGAGCAGCGGAGGAGAACCCUGCUGAAAGAUUUCCAUGACACCUAAGUUGGGAUGUGGAUGUGCCGGGGUGAGGAAGAUGUGGCUGCAAGGUCUCCCGGCUGCCAUACUGCAUGCUGCAGGCUCUGCCUUUCAUGACCCCAGGCAACAGCCAGGGCCCCACUCCUGAGAGACACUGGCAACACCUCUUAGUUGAUUUC
Molecule: small RNA, 494 nt
Filed under: Pongo abelii (Sumatran orangutan)
Lineage: Eukaryota; Metazoa; Chordata; Mammalia; Primates; Hominidae
Description: retained intron
Source: RNAcentral